Molecule: unclassified non-coding RNA, 842 nt
Filed under: Hevea brasiliensis (rubber tree)
Lineage: Eukaryota; Viridiplantae; Streptophyta; Magnoliopsida; Malpighiales; Euphorbiaceae
Source: RNAcentral
AGAGCCAUCGCUUUUCCUUGUAAAGCAGAGGAACAGCUUAUCAGUGAAACUCUGUCAUCUACUACUGAACCUUUACCAUUUCUGCACAAAAGAGCCAUCGCAGCCGUUUGUCUUUCUUGAAAGCAGCAUCUGCAUUUACUUAAAGACUAUUUGAAGCCGGACGUUGCCAGUGUUGCUUUUGUCUAGAAAUGGAGCUUCGUGUCUUGGGGGUGAGCUGUAAGCACCUGGAGUCUUUCCUGAAUUUGAUCAGUUAAGCAGAUAUGAGAUUCUGAAUAUCUUCACACCUCUCUUUGCCAGAUUUUCCAUUGUUGGCAAAGAGUUGUCACAGCUCUUCGCAAAAAAUGCCAAAUCUUUGGUUGCUCUGGCAGGUUCCAAAGACUUUUCCCAUCAAAAUCUUCUGAUCUCCUAGAGGAUAGAGGAACUGCAUGAUGAAGUUGACUCAGAUGAGAAUUGCGUAGGUAAUGCAGAGAUUUCACAGUAAAAGAGACUAAUUUUCAGGAUGCCACACUACUUGUUAAGACCCAACUCUUACUUUUGAAAUUCCUGCUAUUUCUUCCGCAGUAAACAAUGCAUUCAGGAUUGGUGAAGAUGAAUUUCUGAGUUUGCUCUUAAUGCGAUAAUUCCUCUUAUUGUUCUUCUAUUUUUUUUUUCUCUUUCCGUAACGGGAAGAGUGAAGAAGACGAGGAAGGUUUGCUUGGGUGACAAGGAGGAUGGGUUUAUGCAGUAUUAAAAUGACACACAAGACGUCAAGGGAGAGUGAGAGAGAGAGAAGAGAGGGUCAAAGAGAGAGAGAGAGAAAUAGUGGGAGAGAGAAGAGUGUGAGAGAGUUGAAAAUUGUUAAU